RNAcentral lists this unclassified non-coding RNA (378 nucleotides) under uncultured bacterium. RNAcentral's name for it is "contains 16S-23S intergenic spacer region". The record is from RNAcentral.
UCCGGCUUAUCACCGGCAGUUCCGCCAAAGUGCCCAACUGAAUGAUGGCAACUGACGGCAAGGGUUGCGUUCGUUGCGGGACUUAACCCAACAUCUCACGACACGAACUGACGACAGCCAUGCAACACCUGUGUUUGAUCCAACUAAAUGACGUCUAGGUCUCCCUAGACUACGAUCAACAUGUCAAGAGCUGGUAAGGUUCUUCGCGUAGCUUCGAAUUAAACCACAUACUCCACCGCUUGUGCGGGUCCCCGUCAAUUCCUUUGAGUUUUAAUCUUGCGACCGUACUUCCCAGGCGGCAUACUUAACGCGUUAGCUGUAACACUGCGUAGCUGAACUACCCAACGUUUAGUAUGCAUCGUUUACGGCGUGGACUAC